UCCAUUGCUUUCUCCACCUGCCGCCUUGGCCUUCGUCACAGGCAUCCUCCGAGUACAAAAUACCAUGGGGAAUUCCCCAGAAUAAACACAAAUACCUCAGGGCAUUCCCCUGCCAAAUAAUACAUUUGAUCAAAAAGCAAUAAAAUCAAGCCAUUCAACACAUGUUUCUAGCAUUCAACAUUUCCACAAUUCUUGAAAUUUGCCUACCCAACUUGACCUAUCAUGGCACUAUCACGAUCAACGAUGUCAAUGAAUCAAAGUAAAUUAACAUUAGCUUUUUAUCAAUUUUCAAUUUCUAACCCCCAAAUAACUGAUUCUGCUUCUCGAAUGAGAUAUUAUUUUAUCACACAAUUCAUGAUCGAGAGUACCCACAACAAAUCAAAACAAGCAAAUAUUCACCAAUCAAGAUCAAAUGACACACGGUAUUCAACCCAACACAACCAAUAUGAUAAACAAUGAAAUAAAAAUAAGGAAGGAGUAGAAUUGGACCUCAAAAUGUCGCUUUCAAACUCGAUGUAUUAUUUGAUUAAAUCCGGUAGAAUCCGCAUCCAAAACCUUGAUUCGAAACUUCAAAUCGAACCAACUCCAACUUGAUCAAAACCCAAAAAGAAGACCGAACAACCCCGAGACAGUCCCCGCGAAUACCCGAGAAAGGAAAUGAGACUGGUCUUAGGAAUUUUGCCUGUUCAACAAUAGUUUGCUGAAACAGAACAAUAGACAACCGAGAAAAAUGUUCUUUCCGGCAAAGAUUCGUCAGAAAAGGGUGAUUAACGGACUUAUCUGACGCUGAUCUUGGGGUAUUAGUGGAUUAGAAGUUCAGAUGUCAACCAAUAGCCUUUUUUUCUGGUAAUUUCGAUCAGAUUUGGUAGGUUCCGACACAUUUCGGGCAAAACCGUCGGCGAAACAGUAACCAGAACACUGAGUUGUCUUUUCUCCCUUAACUCCAUCUACCCCUUUUCUCUCUUGGUUCCCUCUCUCCUCGAUUCCGCACGUGAAUUGUUCAGAAGACGAUUGUGUCUCUGUGUGUAUCGUGGAAUUUUCCCAGAUGAAGAAAAGAACCAAAAAUGGAGUGUUCAAAAAAUGGCAAGAGGUCUUUCUCUGUCUUGAUGAUCCCCACCUUUUCUGGUCUGUAUUGUUUGUAUAUAUGAUAUCCUGUAAAGGAACAAUUCCUAAAUGGGAGUAUAUGGGUCCCUCCUUUCUGAAUGUAGCGUGUAGUGUAUAUAUAUAUGGUUAAUACCUUUGUGAAAUUGGGAAAAGAUAAAAGAAAGGGAAUCUUUUGGUGGUCCCACUAGAUGACAAAUUUUUUGUGAUUUGGUUCAAUGAAAUGAAAAGGAACAUGACGGGUUGGGGACGUGGUGUAUGG
Molecule: long non-coding RNA, 1363 nt
Filed under: Capsicum annuum
Lineage: Eukaryota; Viridiplantae; Streptophyta; Magnoliopsida; Solanales; Solanaceae
Description: long non-coding RNA (CANN_LNC012185)
Source: RNAcentral